Molecule: long non-coding RNA, 282 nt
Organism: Cydia splendana
Lineage: Eukaryota; Metazoa; Arthropoda; Insecta; Lepidoptera; Tortricidae
Exons: 2
Source: RefSeq, a predicted model, not a curated record
CAACUAGGAAAGCUCCGACUGUGUAUGGUACCCAGUGUCAUAACAGGUCAUGGACUAUUUAACAAACAUCUUUUUAAAACAGGUGUCACAGACAGUCCCCUAUGCCGUGGAUGCAUGGAGAAGGAAGAAACAGCCUCUCACGUGGUGUUGGAAUGCAGCGGAGUGGCCCCAUACAGGGCAAAACAUCUCGGAUCUCCGAGAGACCUCCCCGAGGUCCUACUCAACAUCAAAGGUUUGGUGGGAUUCCUCGAGGAGCUGGGCUGGCAGGACUAGCCCACCCCC